Pseudopipra pipra is the source of this 521-nucleotide long non-coding RNA. RefSeq lists it as uncharacterized. NCBI's taxonomy places the organism in Eukaryota, Metazoa, Chordata, Aves, Passeriformes, Pipridae. The transcript is spliced from 3 exons. The record is from RefSeq and is a predicted model, not a curated record.
GAAUCAUAAUGGACCAUAAUGAGCUCAUAAUGGACGUAAGAGAGAGCUGUAACAUCUUAGAAAGUGUCAAAGACUCCUGAAGUAUCCUGUGACUCACAGUAUUACAUCAUCAAGCAUAAAACUCCCCACUGCAGGGGAGGUGCCAGAGGCCUUCCCAUCUGAGCCUGAGUUUUGGGGCUUCCCAGAUCUCCCUGGACUUCUACCACCACCUCAGAUCUGAAUUGUGAUCACCACUUCAACCAACAAACAUGGAAAUUGCAACAACUAAGUCUCAUCACUGGAUCUAACAGGUGUGGGGGAGGGGAACCAUGUGGAAGGGUGGCCUUCUGCUCUCUGUGCUGUGGCCACAUGUGUUUUUUCCAGAAGGUAUAUGGAUUCUAUUUCUUUUUGUGCAUCAUCAGUGACUGCCUGCCUGCCUGCCUCCUGGAGCAAGCUUUAAAUCUAGACAAUGGAGGACAAGUUUGCUACCUGUGAACCAGUAAUAACAAACCCAGAAACUAAUGAUACUAAUUUUAAUAGAA